RNAcentral lists this non-coding RNA (22 nucleotides) under Rattus norvegicus (Norway rat). Lineage: Eukaryota; Metazoa; Chordata; Mammalia; Rodentia; Muridae. The record is from RNAcentral.
AGGACUGAUGGAAGCAAGAUGG